Molecule: non-coding RNA, 2093 nt
Organism: Macaca mulatta (Rhesus monkey)
Lineage: Eukaryota; Metazoa; Chordata; Mammalia; Primates; Cercopithecidae
Source: RefSeq, a predicted model, not a curated record
AGUGGGUUGAAGAACGCGUCUGCAACACAGAGAUCUCUCUUAUGUAAAUGCUCUUCCUUUGGGUCUUAGGCCCCUAACAUUCUCCCUUUGUCCCAGGGGCUAGACCCCAGGCCAGAGGCUCUCCAUCCCUCCCUCCACCCUCACUUCCCGGCCAGCAGUCCCAGCUCUUUGACUAUCCUUACCGCUGUUGCCUGAGAAGCGGGGCAGGAAGCCAGUGAGGCACCCAGCCACCCUGGAAUGUGUCUCUUUGCUGUUUCCACAGCCUGGCCCAGUCCUCUUCGGGCUGUGGUUGGAAGGCUUUGCUCUUUAAAAAGAUGUCUUUCUUUUAGAGAGUGAAAAAGAGUUUAUCAUUAAUGUGAAGAGACCCUGUAGGACAGAUGUGUUCGGGGUCCGCAUGGAAAAUAGUUGAGUAAUAAUAGUAGAAUGAUUUUGGAGAUAGGCAGAGAUAAUUUGCCCCCAGGGAAGACUUUUCUGGAAUGCCUAGGAGAUGGGCUGGUUGGUGUCCCCCAACCUUCGAGAGUCCCCGUAUUCUUCUCAGGCUCUGCAGGAUGCUUAGGUCCAGUGAGAACCUGGCAGAGAUGGGGCACUCAGUGGUGCUUGAUGGAUGGAUGAGUCAUUGCAGGGGCCUUUUACAGGCAGCAGUUCUGGUUCAGAUUUGAGUGGGGGCGUGGGUAGCGGUGAGGGACAGGGCUAUUUUAGGGGAUGCAGAGACCCUAGUCAUCCCAGAGACGGGCCUGUUUAUAGUUUGUACCUGCCAUGGAAUGACCCUGAGUGGUGAGGAGUUUCUUACCUACACAAAAGGAGCUGGGCCUGGCCAGGUGCAGCCAGUGACCUGGAAAGGUGUCCUGUGGGGUGUGGAUGUAUUAAGUGGCCACAGGAGUGCUGAAGAGCAGCCGGUCCCAGGCAUUGGGACUCUGGGCUUCCAUCCUAGCUCUGAGCCGGCUGCCCUCUCUGAGCCUCGAUGUGCUCACCUGCAGAACAGAGAUGCUACUGUCUGUCUCACCUCCCUGCUUCCUCCCUGGCUGCCCUAUGGGUGACAGGAGCAGUUGAUGUGACACUCAAAGUGGACCAGUGCCAGGGGACUUGGGGUCUGUAGGGGACUCCCUUUAUGAGUAAAACAAAUCCUCUAGGUCCCAGGGCAUUUGGUUCUUCCUUUGUUCUGGCAUUUGUCGUGUGGCCUGGUUCCUUACUUUCUGGCCUGUCUGCCCCACCCCUGCCCACCCCCACUGCACUGGUCUGGGAGCUCCUUCAGGGCAGGGGCGGCUGCUUGUGCACUGUCACCUCUCCCACAUCCACCAUGAGACUCAGACACAGAGCUGACCCUUCAUGUUGGCCGAGUGGGGACUGCAGAGGGCAAUGAGACACCACCCCAGGGAGCGAGGCAGGCAGGUCCUGCUGCCACCACCAGAGGUACUCGCAGUCCACAGAGAGUGCAGGGGUGGGUAUCCAUGGGCUCUGCACAGAUACGGCUCAGGGGUUCAGUGAUUUGCUCAAAGCAACUCAGUUUCACCCCAGGGAACCUGGUGUGAUAAGCAAAGCCAGGUGCGUGAUGGUGAUAUGCUGCACUGAACCCUGGCCCUCCUAAACUCCCGUUAUUAUUAUUAUUAUUUUCAUGGUAACUCUUUGAUACCUGGAGAUGGCUGCUUGGUCCCACGAGCUUUACGGCCUCUCAGCCCUAAGACCUGCAAUCAAAUUCCCAAAUCCUUCAACAUCCUGGGCCCCCCUUGGCCUGUCAACACCCUUCUUGACAACCCACAGGCAGGGAGGAGCCCAGGAGGUACCUGGAGCCCCAGUGGGGGCAGGGCCUUCCUCUCGAUCACCUCUUUCUGUAAGGCUGUGCCCAAGCAGCGCUUUGCAAACUGCUCUAAAACUCUGCUUAGAUCAUGGUUCUCAAUGGUGGUGAGUGUUUCUCUUUCAGAUUCACCUACUCUGCUACAGGCUCAGGACUUAGGGUCAUCAGCAUCUCAUUCCCUGGCACAAAAAUUCCAAGAGACAGCAAAAUGGACAACUCUUCAGUGGACAGUACAAUGAACAUUUGCAUAAGUAUGCACCCAUGGGACCACCCAAAUAAAACUAGAGGAUACCACUGCCAA